Molecule: long non-coding RNA, 1666 nt
Filed under: Homo sapiens (human)
Lineage: Eukaryota; Metazoa; Chordata; Mammalia; Primates; Hominidae
Description: HSALNT0078995
Source: RNAcentral
GUUUGUUAGCUAUCUAGAAGUUGUCCAGGGCUCCCUGAGGGAGGCCAGCACAAGAGCUCUGCCAUAAAAGGACAUUGGACAGAAGUGAAGAGUCCAAUCAGAAACUCUUUUUGAGAGACUGAACGCAAAGCAUUCAGAGAGUCAGCAGGCUGGAGAGGCCAAGACACACACACGAAGAAGGCAGGACACUCUUCUCCUCCUGCGGUUGGACUCCAGGCUCUAUGACCUUCAAACUCCAGGACUUACACCAGUUGCCCCUGGGCACUCAGGACUUCUGCUUCAGACUGACAGUUGCAGGACAGUGCAGCAUUUUAUUUUAAAGAUACCCCACAACGUAGGUGGCCAGUCCUGCUGCAGACUGUGUCUGUAUCUGGGAUCAGUUGCGAAGCAGAAGUAUGACGUGACUAAGGCCACCGCUGGGUUAGGAUACCCCCAUCCAAGAUUGAGAGCUGUACUAGCCUGGCAUGCAGACAGCAGCUUUAGAAUCAGAUCUGCCUUCUGGCGGCUUCCCACCUAGGAGCCAUGGGACCUUUGUGAAGUCACCAAUUGUGCUGUGGAUGCUUCAUUUGUGAAGGAGAACAGGACUGCCUUGUGAAAUUACGGAUGGUGCUACUAAAACAUAUCAAUAAUUUGAAUUUCACUUUUGUGGAUGCUUUAAACAUCAUAGUCAUUAGAAGGUGGAUCUGGCUGAUUGUACUUUAAGUUUUCAGUUUGAGCUGGAGCUUUGUAUUAUAACAGGAGGGUACUGGACAAGAUGAGGAAACUGAGGUACAGAUGGGAAACUUGCUCAAGUUCACACAGCAAUUAAGUGAUCAAGUCCAAGAGCAAAACCAGGCAGGCUGGCUCCAGAGCUCACGAUAGUCCACCACUGCUUUCCACCAUCACUACGGAAUCAAGUCCAUGAGGAUACUCACCUUAUGUCAGUUGCCUAAGUUGGAAAUUAUAGAAUCUUCAAAUUGGAAGGGACGUUAUCAUCCAAGAUUUCAACUUUCUACUCACUGCAAAAUCCCUUCUGGAACUUCCCAGAUUGAUGAAUUUUCAUCAGCUCUGCUUGAGUACUCCCAGUGACUUGGAAAAAAAACACUGUAAUAUGGAUAUGAAAUAUAAACUGUUCAUGGAUAAAUUAUUGCAUAAUAAAAACAUGCCUAAUGGCUACACUCCCCUAAUAUGUUCAUUUGACUUCCCAGGAUUUAGCAACCAGGGCCUGGAAGGCAGACAAAGGUAACUGGCCCCAUGUGAUAAAAACAGGUUCCUUCUACGUGUGGGGCUUCUCCACUGCCAGGUUCCUGCAGCAAGUAGCAGUCACCAGCACCCAGUGGCCAGCAGCUUCCUCCACCACCUCCUGCUUGACACUGGAGUAAAUUCCAAAACAUGGCACCACCCUGUGAAUAGCUUCCUUGACACCCAAGAAGGUGGGUUUCCAGCAAGUUCUACUGGUGAGGCAUUUCAGUGGCUUGUCAGCCAUCCUUGAGCCACAGCUGCACUCUCUGCAAUAAGAUCUGUUUCUUGCUGAGGGCUUUUAUCUCAGCCCUAGGAGUAAUCUUAUAUCUGCUAUCCUUGUAUUCUGUAGAGUAAUUUAUAUUUCUUACUAGUCAAUCCAUUAUUAUCCGAAUUCUCUAUUAUAGUUAAUAAUUCUUUAUAUUAAACAUUCCCUGUUUGAAUUACU